AGAGAGCUUGCUUUCUCGAGCGAGUGGCGAACGGGUGAGUAACGCGUGAGGAACCUGCCUUUCAGUGGGGGACAACAGUUGGAAACGACUGCUAAUACCGCAUAAGCGCACAGGAUUGCAUGAUCCAGUGUGAAAAACUCCGGUGGUAUGAGAUGGACCCGCGUCUGAUUAGCCAGUUGGCGGGGUAACGGCCCACCAAAGCGACGAUCAGUAGCCGACCUGAGAGGGUGACCGGCCACAUUGGGACUGAGACACGGCCCAAACUCC
Molecule: ribosomal RNA, 267 nt
Filed under: uncultured Roseburia sp.
Lineage: Bacteria; Bacillati; Bacillota; Clostridia; Lachnospirales; Lachnospiraceae
Description: partial 16S ribosomal RNA
Rfam family: Bacterial small subunit ribosomal RNA
Source: RNAcentral